This 199-nucleotide long non-coding RNA is filed under the name Zostera marina. Its description in RNAcentral is "long non-coding RNA (ZMAR_LNC005948)". Lineage: Eukaryota; Viridiplantae; Streptophyta; Magnoliopsida; Alismatales; Zosteraceae. The record is from RNAcentral.
AACUCAAGAGCUUUCACUCCACACUUGCCCACACGUUUUUGCCUCCAAGCUUCCAAGCUUUCAAGUGCUCAAGUGUCCUAGCUUUUCAAAGCUUCAAAAGCUCUCAAACUUCUUCUUCUAAUCUUCUUGUUCAUUUUUACAAGUAAGAAGUGUUGUUUGCUUUAAUAUUCCACUCCUCUAAUCACCUUUUGUGUGUGUC